UCCCUGAUAGUCUAGUGGUUAGGAUUCAGUGCUUUCACUGCUGCAGCCCAAGUUCAAUACCUGGUCUGCGAA
This 72-nucleotide transfer RNA is filed under the name Sus scrofa (pig). It matches the Rfam family "tRNA". From Rfam's summary of the family: Transfer RNA (tRNA) molecules are approximately 80 nucleotides in length. The record is from Rfam by way of RNAcentral. Lineage: Eukaryota; Metazoa; Chordata; Mammalia; Artiodactyla; Suidae.